CAGCAGCCGCGGUAAUACAGAGGGUGCAAGCGUUAAUCGGAAUUACUGGGCGUAAAGCGCGCGUAGGUGGUUUGUUAAGUUGGAUGUGAAAUCCCCGGGCUCAACCUGGGAACUGCAUUUGUGACUGGCAGGCUAGAGUAUGGCAGAGGGGGGUGGAAUUCCGCGUGUAGCAGUGAAAUGCGUAGAUAUGCGGAGGAACACCGAUGGCGAAGGCAGCCCCCUGGGCCAAUACUGACGCUCAUGCACGAAAGCGUGGGGAGCAAACAGGAUUAGAUACCCGCGUAGUCCCUGUCUCUUAUAC
RNAcentral lists this ribosomal RNA (301 nucleotides) under uncultured bacterium. RNAcentral describes it as "partial 16S ribosomal RNA". It matches the Rfam family "Bacterial small subunit ribosomal RNA", at positions 509 to 807 of the family's 1533-position model. The record is from RNAcentral.